AUCCAGCUGACGAGUCCCAAAUAUGACGAAACGCACGUCCUGGGAU
Molecule: non-coding RNA, 46 nt
Organism: Schistosoma margrebowiei
Lineage: Eukaryota; Metazoa; Platyhelminthes; Trematoda; Strigeidida; Schistosomatidae
Source: Rfam